UUGUCAUCUCUAAGCAGGGUGUUAAGUGCAUGAGUAUUCACUCCGAACAAAUGUGUGCUAGGUAUGCUUCUGGGCGCUGGAAGUAUUACAGCGUAGAAAACAGACAAAACCCCACUUUCUUGGAGCUCAAAUUGAGGAAUUCAGUUUGCUGAGUUCACAUGAGAAAUGAGAGGCAGAGGUGCAGAAGCUUUUCAAUCCGGUCAUUAGGAAGAAAAAGUUAUUUCACUGAAAGGUUAACUACCAGUGAUAUGACCCAUACCACAAAGGGAAAGAAUUUCUUGAGAAAAUUCGUAUCUGAAGAAAUAGCCCAAAUUUACUGAUACAUGGGCAGGGCAGAGGCUAAGGGAACUGCAGUCACCCACACUGGAAGUUUCACUCCUGGCUGUACCUUGGUGGCAUCUUCAGACUGUGAAAAGAGACCACCGUAAAGGUGGGGCCAGCCUGGAAGGAGGUCCAGCUUGUAGGGGCUCCCACGCUAACGUUCUUAGCUCAGAGGGAGUCAGAAGCAGAGCAGAAACUAAUUUUAGAAUUUUUUCCAUCCCCAUAUUUACUUUAUUUUCCCAUGGUAGUUAGCAAUCAGUUUCUGAAAUGAAGGACAUAUUGAGUUAACGCAUUUAUUCUAACAAUAAAUAUUUGGGAACAUACUAUCUACCAGACAUUGUGCUAAGGGCUGACAGCAAAGUCCAAGACAAAUAGUCCCUACCUCCAGCAAGUCUGUAGUCAUGCAGGACACAAACUGAGCAAUUACAAGGGAACUGAUUAUUCUGAAAGAGGAAUUAUAGGGUGCUAUGGGAACAUAUAGCCAGGGACCUAAUUAUGUGGGCAAGGGAGCAGUCCAGAUCCAACAUUUGCCCUCCCAAUUUACACCUACAGCUAAUCUAGUUUAGUGGGGUGGCCAGUGAAGAAAACGAAAAGCUGGGGACACCACCUAACUCCCUUCCCAGUCUUAAGCAAGGUGAAAGCAAGGAAAUAGAAAACACCAAGGGAAUGAGUGGUGUAGCCACCAAAGGAGAUAGCAGACUGAGUCUCCAAGAAAGAAUACCUGGCAUCAGGACCAGAGAAGGAGCACUAAGGGAGGUCAGUGGAGAGCCCUGCAUGCACUCUCCCACUGUUCUGAAAAGGAUAAAGAACAAGGAAGAAACUACACUACUGGGUUAAGACCACAUAAAACCACGCAUCCAUUCCUCUAACAUAUUCAUCAGCUUUUCAUUACCAUCACAUACUAAAAGUUCAAUCCUUCUUGGCACUUAAGAACACUGUUCUCUACAUCCUUUGCCAGCCCACAUUUUCUGGGCCCCCACCCAGGUGUACAGCCUGGCUGUUAGCAUCUCACAGAAUAAGGGGAAGGGACCAGGCCAGAUCCAGCAGUUGCCCUCCCAAUGUAUUUUCUGUGGAUUCUUUUUAACUUUGAGCUAUGCAGAUACAGACAGAGGCAGCCAGACAACAAGACCAAAUCCCUCAUUUCACCCACUCAACAAAAUGCCCCCAAAAUAUAAAGUUCCUAUACCUCGCAUGUUUCCUGAUCUCUAGAAGCCCAACUUCUGCUCACAGCUGAGCACCUGAGCACCCAGAUUUCUCUUGGUCAUGCUUUAGUAACAGCAGAUUCUACUAGGUCCCUUAGAGACCCUAAAACCACAGCUUAAGCUUUCUAAAUAAAUAAGUCCCAUUGCCACUUGUGAUUGAGGUGUUUUUGAAGUAAAGCUAGCCCAACUUUACAGCUAGCUCAACUACAGUAGCAAGUAGGGGGUGGCUUGCUUUAAGGGUAGCAGACCAGACAUGGACUUUCUUAAUAUGGCAUGGCACACAUAGGUAUCAGUAUUCAGGAGGGUUGGAACCUGCAACCAGAGAUAAGCAUCUUGUUUUCCAUUUAGGUCCUGGAGUUUAAAUUAUGUAUAAUUUCUUCCUAAAAAACAAAACA
Non-coding RNA from Kogia breviceps (pygmy sperm whale), 1918 nucleotides. The record is from RefSeq and is a predicted model, not a curated record. Lineage: Eukaryota; Metazoa; Chordata; Mammalia; Artiodactyla; Physeteridae.